This 338-nucleotide long non-coding RNA is filed under the name Setaria italica (foxtail millet). RNAcentral describes it as "long non-coding RNA (SITA_LNC007022)". Lineage: Eukaryota; Viridiplantae; Streptophyta; Magnoliopsida; Poales; Poaceae. The record is from RNAcentral.
AAGAGUGCACCACCGGCCGACGAAGAGUGCGGUGUCGUCGCCGACGCUCGUCACCUCCGACCACCGCGCCGUGACGAGGUUGGCCUUGAACACGUGCGAACUUGGUCGCGCCGUCUCCCGUGACCGCUCUGUGGAUCAUCAGCAGCCUGUCGCCGGACACGAACAGGUACUGCGUCGCCGGUGGUGGCGCCUUCUUGCGCCGUCUCGCCGGCACGGCGUGGGAGGCCUUGAUGACGCGCCUGUCCCAGGCCACCGUCGGCUCGCCGGUGCGGCCGUCCUCGCCGGUAGGCAUGGCGAAGAGCUCGCCGGUGUCCUCGACGGCGCACACCUUGCCGUCG